Molecule: RNA transcript, 4267 nt
Organism: Lotus japonicus
Lineage: Eukaryota; Viridiplantae; Streptophyta; Magnoliopsida; Fabales; Fabaceae
Gene name: xyloglucan O-acetyltransferase 2-like
Exons: 2
Source: RefSeq, a predicted model, not a curated record
UCCUAUCAAUUUUCUCCAAGUCGUUAAAAACAGGCACAUAUCUUUUGUUGGGGAUUCUCUAGCUAGGAACCAAUUAGAGUCUCUUAUUUGCAUGUUAUCCUCUGUUUCAACACCCAAACUUGACCUCUAUAAAGGUAUUGGUUGGUGGCACUUUCCUUCUCACAAUGUAACCUUGUCAUCAUAUUGGGCACCAUUUCUUGUGCAAGGGGUUCAAAGACAAUUAACCGGUCCCGGACCACAUCAUAAUACAAUGUAUUUGGAUCAAGUUAAUGAAAAAUGGGCUUUGGAUAUGGAUAAAAUGGAUUUAAUUGUGCUUGGAUUUGGGCAUUGGUUUGCUGGCAUUCCUUCACUUUACUAUGAGGGUGAUUCAGUUUUGGGUUGCCAAAAUUUUCCUAAUCUUAAUUGCACCGAUAUUGGGUUUUAUGUCCCGAUAAGAAAGGCUUUGAGGACUGCUCUUAAUAGCAUAAUUGAGAGGAAAGCAGCUAAAGGAAAUGGAGUUGGUGUCAUUGUGAGAACAUUCGCACCUGUUCAUUUUGAAGGUGCUUGGGAUAAAGGUGGCACUUGUUCAAAGAAUACACCUUAUAAAAAAGGGGAGAAGAAACUCGAAGAAAAGGAUGUUGAGAUUAGAAAGAUUGGAAUGGAAGAAUUACAAAAUGCAAAGGAAAAAGCCAAACAAUUUGGAGGGUUUAGGUUUGAAGUACUAGAUGUAACCGUAUUAGCAUCAAUGAGACCAGAUGGCCAUCCCGGUGCUUAUAGAAAGCCAUUCCCAUUUGCUAAAGGGGUUGAAAAGAAUGUGCAGAACGAUUGUACUCAUUGGUGUUUGCCAGGGCCUAUAGACACUUGGAAUGAAAUCUUUAUUGAGAUGAUAAAGAACUGGGAGGAACAACUAAGAAGUGAAGAGUGAGAUAUUUCUCUUACAUAUCUUGUUAAUAGAAAAUUCUUGUUCUCACAAUUGUUGCUCUUUCUUUUUUUUUUUAUUUUAAAGUAAACUGAAUUUCCAUUAAAAGCCAUUCGGCAAACAAGACAUAACAUCUGAAACAACAUAAGCUAAAGCAGCAUCCGGAACCUCCUCCACCCAAACUAAAUCAGUAUAGGUUUCAGCGGUCCGGGCUAGGAAAUCCGCAACAGUAUUACCCGUGCGUCUAACAAAAGAGAAAGAAACAACAUCAAAAGCACAUAAAAGUGUGUGACACUCGCUAAUAAUAGAACUCAAAUGGGAACGCCCAACCUCCUUGGCUUUCCAAUAAUUAUAUAGCUGUAAACAGUCUGUCUCCAAACAAAUCCUCCGGAAGCCAAGAUCAAUAGCUAGCUGCAUGGUCCACCUCAAGCUCAGUGCUUCCGCCAAAAGAGGUGAGAUAGCGGAUUUGGGAUAGGAGCAUGCCGCCGCCAUCACCUCCCCCCUACAGUUCCGUGCCACCAUGCCCAACCCACUCAAGCCAUUUCCGUGAUAGGAAGCAUCAAAAUUGCACUUAAUGAUACCUGAAGCUGGCGGCUUCCACCUCGCGGGCAAGGCCACCGCCGGCGCUCUCAUCUGGUCACGCACUUGGACCUCCUCCAUCAAGCAGCUGACCCGCCUAAGCACGGUGUCCACCUUGAUCUGCUGCUGCUGGAAAUUGCUACGGUUCCUGGCCUCCCAUAUGGCGUAAGUCGUGGUCUGAACAAGAGCCAUCACCCCGUCAUCAUGCAGCUCCACCACCGCUAACCAGAAAUCUCGAAAAGUGGAGAAGGACGCCACUCGAAGUGCUAGCUGAGAAGCAAACCACACAUGCUGCGCCGCUGGACAGUGGAUGAAUAAAUGGUCCUCAGUCUCCCUUGCCGUUGCACAAAAUGAGCACCCGGGGUCUACAUCCACCUGCCGACUAAAUAGCCUCUCCUUCAAUGGCAAAUAACCUUGUAUAGCCCUCCAACAUGUCUCCUUGCAUCGUGGUAAAGCUCGUGAGGCCCAGAAAAAAUUCCAGAAUCUGGGCUCAAGCAUCACAGCCAUGGAUGAUGAUGUUUCAGCAAGCGAUAUCAGCUGGCUCAUGAACUUGUACCCCUCCUUACACGUGUAAUGGCCAUUGGUUGUGGUUGGCCAAUGAAAUUCAUCCGGGCUACCUGGCACACCCAGCGGGAUCGAUAAAAUGCUAGCUGCAGUGCUUGGAUUAAAGACAAGCUGAAUCAAGUCUGUCCUCCACCUGUGCAAAUCAUGAUCAAUAAGCAUAGAAACAUGUGUUAGUUGAAAUUCAUCAACAAGGUCUUGGCGGUAGAUGAGGGGGGCACCCCCUGGCACCCAAUUUUCAUUCCAAAUAUGAACCUGUGAACCAUCACCAAUUUUCCAAAGCCCUCCGCGCUCAAAAAUCCAACUUGUUUUUAAGAUACUGGUCCAGGCAUAGCUUGGACGGUACCCCUUUUUUGCCUCCCGUAAUGAAGUUCUAUGGAAAUAGACCCCGUUAAAGACUCGAGCAACCAAACUUUCCGGGCGAGUGUAUAAGCGCCACCAGUUCUUCCCAACUAGAGCCAUGUUAAAAGAUUUAAAAUCACGGAACCCAAGGCCCCCUUCCACUUUGUUCUUACAUAAGUUCUUCCACUUUGUCCAAUGUAGACCACGGCGGUUUGGGUCCCCACCCCAAUAGAAUCUCGCAAUCAUGCUAUCAAUAUCGGUGCCCACUAGGGUGGACAAGUAUCAAAAUGGUCCAUCAAUAGACCACUCAUCACAACCGUUGAUAUAUAAUAUUUUAAGGUAGUGGUCUAGAUUUUUCACCUUGCACUUGCGAAACAGGUGAAAUUGGUGGCCCUAACAGAUUUGUAAAAUUUGCUAAGGCACCCCUCUCUCUCAUGUGACUCCGCUUGUACUGUGACUUUCACUCGUCGCGCUCUCGCCGCCCCGAAGUCGCGGUGACCACGCCGCACCCCUCUGAUAACGCAACCAUCUUGAUAUUCUCCUUCUGGUUGUCUUCUUUCUCCGCCAUCACUGCUGACCCCUCCUGACACUCGUUGAGGAGCUCCAACUUGGCAGCCCGGUCUGGGAGAAGCGGGUUCUUCUUUCUGGUUACCGCGCCGCCCUGAAGCGCCACGACGAUGGGGUGCUUGAAAUCGACAACUUCAAUGGCUAUGAAGGUUUUGUCUGCAAAACAGAACUGUUUCUGGUGUGUGGUUUGGCACGCGGUGAUUUGAUCUUUGUGACUUGGAAGAAAUGAUUUGUUAUUUAGGGGUGUGGCUUUGGAGCUGGACAGAGUUAUGGAAUUAAUUCAUAUCAGAACUUGGAAUUGACUAACAAUGAAAAUUAAAUCGUUUCAUCAUUCUUUUUUCGAGUGGUGCACUAGCCCGACGUUGUGCUUAAAAGAUGUGUGAGUGUGAGGAUCGAGUAGUUGUUGGUGUGUGGGCUGCAGAUUGCGUUUGACAGUGGAUGAUUUGGACAGUUGGUAGUUUUGGCAUGGAUUGUGUUUUGUCUUUGCUGAAGGUUGCUGUGCAGUAGCUUGUCUGGUUGCAGGUUCAUGUUUUCUAUUUGGUUGGCCAAGUGGUGCAGGUGUUUUUGCUGGUGGUGGUUUUUGGAUUCUUGUAAUUUGCUGGCGAUGGUUUAUUUGGUGGGAACUAGGGUGUUGUUGGGGUUCUUUAGUUUCGGUAGUUGCUGCUGUUUUCUUGCUGUUUUUUAUUUAUUUUUUGCUUGUUAUCUUCUCUUUUGGUAGUGUUUUGCUUUCUUGUAUUGGCAUUCCUUUUUCAUGUAUUCAGGUUCUAGCACCCCCUGUGCUAGCUUUGAAUGCAAUUGGCUUAUCUAAAAAACUAUUGUUGAAUAUUGUUAAUCAUGAAGAACUGCUUUGCUGACCUUAAAAUAUUUUCCUGCUAUAUUACUUGGUAUUGGAGAUAGCUGACGUUUCACAUAAGAUGUUUGCUGUCUUCUACUUCCCAUGAGCUAUUCAAAUGCUUGCUGUCUUAUGUUUCGUGUGACCAAACUUCAGGGAGAGAUAGGAUUACGAAAUACACAAGACAAAUACCCAGAGACUUAUACGCCUGUAUCAUCCAGACAAGUAUCAUGGAACAUGAAGAUGUAUUGCAGCUGCUUUAGGAGAGAAUCAAAGCUGUCUGUAGUUGUUUUGGAUCCACCAAGUGUGUACUGGAGGUGUAGGUCCCAACAGAGUUGAAGUUUCAGGACAGAACUUGCAAAGCUAAUGCACGAAGAUUAUGUAGAAUAGGAAUUAUGUAUUUAUUGAUUACACACUAUUGAACUUCAAUUUUGUACAAUGUUGUAACAAUAGUUCUGAUUGCAAUAAAAUGAGACUUUUAAGUUUAA